RNAcentral lists this unclassified non-coding RNA (212 nucleotides) under plant metagenome. RNAcentral's name for it is "partial contains small subunit ribosomal RNA, internal transcribed spacer 1, and 5.8S ribosomal RNA". The record is from RNAcentral.
UUUCCGUAGGUGAACCUGCGGAAGGAUCAUUAAAAAUGAAGCCGGGAAACCGGUCCUUCUAACCCUUGACUAUCUUAAUUUGUUGCUUUGGUGGGCCGCGCAAGCACCGGCUUCGGCUGGAUCGUGCCCGCCAGAGGACACAACUCUGUAUCAAAUGUCGUCUGAGUACUAUAAAACAGUUAAAACUUUCAACAACGGAUCUCUUGGUUCUG